RNAcentral lists this unclassified non-coding RNA (277 nucleotides) under Hevea brasiliensis (rubber tree). Lineage: Eukaryota; Viridiplantae; Streptophyta; Magnoliopsida; Malpighiales; Euphorbiaceae. The record is from RNAcentral.
GUAGGAAUGAAACCCACUGGGAAACUGGAAAAUAGAAAAUCUUGAUUAACUUCAAUUGUUUGACUAUACACAAAAUAUUGUAAUUAAUAUUAAGCAUCUUGAUUAGGAAAAUAAAUUCCAAAUGAUUGAAUCUGAAAACUUCAACUAAACUGGAAACUGAUAUUGUUGAAAUUUUAGUCCCUCACGUUCUAAAUCUUUAGGGAUUGAAAAAGUCAAGGACUAAGUAUAUGAUAUGUUAAUGGAAGGACUAAACCGUAAGAAAUGAAAAAAAAAAUGA